Long non-coding RNA from Hemicordylus capensis (graceful crag lizard), 250 nucleotides. RefSeq lists it as uncharacterized. The transcript is spliced from 2 exons. NCBI's taxonomy places the organism in Eukaryota, Metazoa, Chordata, Lepidosauria, Squamata, Cordylidae. The record is from RefSeq and is a predicted model, not a curated record.
GCCCCAGCAAGAAGAACUGAAAGGAAGAAAAGGAGAUUUUAGAAACCCUUUGUAUUUUAUGACUUGCUUCCCUCUUGCCGGUCCUGUUGAAUCAAGUUGUACACCAGUCAAACUGGACAAGACAUAUCAGCUCAUUGCACAUCUGCUUUCUUUGUUUAAUCUACAUACCCAUGAAACGUCUUGUAGGAGUGGUAUGAACUGUGCAAAAGUGCGACUGGAAAAAUUUUCUUAAAACAAAGAGAGACCGGGA